Molecule: transfer RNA, 86 nt
Filed under: Bacteroidales bacterium
Lineage: Bacteria; Pseudomonadati; Bacteroidota; Bacteroidia; Bacteroidales
Description: tRNA-Leu
Rfam family: tRNA
About the family: Transfer RNA (tRNA) molecules are approximately 80 nucleotides in length. Their secondary structure includes four short double-helical elements and three loops (D, anti-codon, and T loops). Further hydrogen bonds mediate the characteristic L-shaped molecular structure. tRNAs have two regions of fundamental functional importance: the anti-codon, which is responsible for specific mRNA codon recognition, and the 3' end, to which the tRNAs corresponding amino acid is attached (by aminoacyl-tRNA synthetases). tRNAs cope with the degeneracy of the genetic code in two manners: having more than one tRNA (with a specific anti-codon) for a particular amino acid; and 'wobble' base-pairing, i.e. permitting non-standard base-pairing at the 3rd anti-codon position.
Source: RNAcentral
GCCUCGGUGGUGGAAUAGGUAGACACGCAGGACUUAAAAUCCUGUGGCCCGCAAAGGCCGUACCGGUUCGCUUCCGGUCCGAGGUA